RNAcentral lists this non-coding RNA (356 nucleotides) under Pongo abelii (Sumatran orangutan). The record is from RNAcentral. Lineage: Eukaryota; Metazoa; Chordata; Mammalia; Primates; Hominidae.
UGCCUGGUACUGGAUAGGAACUUCAUGGAAUGGAGCUAAUGGGCCGUAGGGCAGGUUUGAGUCUUGCCACCCUGGAGCGGAAGGUGGAGAGUAGGGAUAAGACCUCAUUAUUGCACAGCUUAGAGUGGCUUGAAACAAAGGCUUGGAGAAUGUGAGUGAAACUGAUUCCUGUGGUGGAGAGGCAGUGAAAAAGCAUUACCUUGUAGGUUCCCAGGCAGCCUGGACAAUAGGGGGACCUAAACCCACAUUGAAAAGCCUUCACAGCUGAGUCUCAUAGCCCUCAACUUUACCAGUUUUGGAGAACAGAGAUAAAUGCACUGGCCAGAAACUAGAAGAGCAGCUGCUCCAGUUGGCUG